Non-coding RNA from Odocoileus virginianus texanus, 4723 nucleotides. Lineage: Eukaryota; Metazoa; Chordata; Mammalia; Artiodactyla; Cervidae. The record is from RefSeq and is a predicted model, not a curated record.
UCUGCCCUUCUCCCCAACCAACAAUCAAAAAGAAACCCCGCACUCACCCCAAAACCUUCAAAGAGCCCCCUUUGGGACCAAGACUGCCCGCCUGCCUCCCCCUCCUCCUUCCGAGAUUUGGGGAAGGGGGGCACCCAGUUCAGGGCUGAGCCCAGCCAGGGUUGCCGGCCAGCUCUGCGGAUAAACCAGGCCCAGCCGAGCCUUCAGCCCCUAGCCCCACUCUUCCUCUCUGGAAGGACCCAGAAUGGAGAAAACCAAGCAGGCUUUAGGAAAUUCACGAGCUAAAAAUGUCAGGAAUUUCCUGGGAAACGCAGUUCCUUACGGGAUUCAUUAACGCAGGUUCGCUCGCCCCUUUUACUCAUCCUCCCAGAAACUCCUAAGUGUCAAGGAGAUCCCCCAUCUCUCAAAAAGUAAAACACUAAAUGAUCGCUGGUUUUUAGGAAGACAGCUAGGUUACUGACCAUUACCAAUGACAGCUAAACCAGUGACAGCAAAAAGGGGUCUUCUCUGGUCUCAGGAAGGGGCUCAGAAAUAGAUUUCUCUCUUCCUAGAUCUGAGGCAUAAUCUAGGGCCUAUUUUCCUUCUCCCAGAUAGACAGCUAAUGCUUAUACUCCCUCACUGCAGUCUGCAGUCCUAGCAGCUGUGGGGAAGCCAGGGCCUAUCUCCAGGGCAUCUCCUACCUGUGCUCCCAGAUGCCCCCAUCACCUUCUGCAGGGGGCUUAAGAGGAUACAGACCCCACAGCCCCAUUCCUGGUUUUCUCAAGCAUGGAUUGCUGCCUCCAUCCUGAGAAGAGUACAACCAUCUCAUCUGUAGGCUCCAUUCCCAAUGAACAUCGCCCAUCCCCUGCCCCCAAAAGUAAGGAGACUUGCCUCCCUCACUCUUAACCCCCAAGACAUCUGAGCACCUGGCUGCCCAAGCUUCCUGGAAAAGAAAGGGGUAAAGAGGGGACUAAUGAAAAGAAACCCAGACCAGCCCAGGGUAUAAGUCUUGUCAACGCCUGAGACUUUAAAGGUCCCUGAUACAUCCCUUCAUCUCCUGGGCAAACCUGCCUGCUAAGUAUUCACAGCUUCCUUUUUCUCUUCCAAGGGCCCCAUUCAACCCAGCAGUAGCUACUUCAGCUCUGGGCUGACGUUCACUACUUCCCGCUAAAGAGGAAGAAAUAGGGCAGAGCACUCUGACUUCGGAAAAGAAAACUGGGAUAGUCCUCUGAACCAGUCUCAGAACUACCCACCUGUCCAUUUGUCCCUGAAAUGGCUCUCUGAAUAGGAGGCCCACUGUGAGAGACGGAAAUCACAGGUUUUGGGCCCCAUAAAGAACUUCCCCCUAGUUUAGGGGCAUCCUGUAGCACUGAGUAGUCCCCUUUCAUUGCUGAUUUUUCUGCGCUCCCGCCCCUGUCCCCGUCUGUCGGGAGGAGAUAUAGGAACAACUGGUGCACUGCCCACCACACAAAAAUACAAGUGUGAAGAAGCGGCGGCUCCUCUAGGUUUGCAUGGUAGCGAUCAGGACCCUGGAUAGACCCCGUCCCAAACAGGGUCGCAAAGGCAGCGUGGCGUGGUCUCCGCACAGAGCUGGGCGGGGCAUUACGCUCCCACCUGUAAGUUGAGACUACUACGACCUGGUUAAGACCCGAUCUAGAAGAGCCGCUAUUCUUUCUCGUGAUUUUACCUCGCACUGAACCAAGCGCUUGUCCCCUCCGGAGAGCUCAAAGCAGCAAAGGCCAGUGGGGCUGCGAGGAGAGAGCACGCGGCUGCCAGUCCUUGUCACUCUUCCAUACUAAAAAAUCGCUUCCCCCAGAACCAAAAAGUAGAGCUUGAAACUGCCUGCCUUCCUGAACCAAUUCUGGGGUCUAAAUUUCUUUCCCUGUCCCAAAUGUUUACGUCCAGGGUUCUGAAGUGGUUUAAAUUUGGGAAUGCCCUUAUUUUCUGAAAAAAAUGAUGGUCACCAGGUACUGAUGUCUUAGUUUCCUAGCACAGAGGCAACUGAUAAAGUUUUUAGACAAAACACAAGUUAAAUAUCAUUUGCACGCAUAAACUGGGAAUUUUAAGCUCAAAUCAGCUAACAACUGAGACCUGGAACUCUCCACAUAAAUAUGUAUUUAUUUCAUGCUUUUUAUUACAUAUGUAUAAAAUUUUGCCAUUAUAUACUAGCUUCUUGCCUAGUUUGUAAAUGUAUCUAAAAGCAACCAAGGUUAAUAGUGCCUUUCCCAAAAUAAUACAAUGAUAAAUAGGAUAUUUAACACAUUUUCACUACUCAAACAAGAGAGUUUAUUUCAGGAUAAGCCUGUGAGUGUGGACUUUUGGUCAGAAUGGGAGAGGUGGGGAAAGGCGGCUUUCCUUAGUACCCUUAAAAGGGUGUCUGAGAGAAAAGUCUUAAAACAAAGAGGUUAGAACCUUAAACAGAAUUUCAAAGUUAGAUUUGCAUACUAACACAGAAAAUCCAUGAGCAAACUUGUGGAUUUAAAAACACAUCUAGCCAUUUGUUAAUUACCAAGACAACAUGCUAACUUGGUAAAUGAAAAGCCAAUUCUAGUGUCUAGAUGUUUGCAUUGUUAUUUUAAAACAAAUAGUUGCAGAAUUAAAAUUAUAGUUUCAACACAAUGUAAGAAAGACACAGGGAAAACGAAAUACAUUAAUAUGCACAAAAUAUGUGUUAAUGAAAAAAACAUAAAAAAAUUCCCUUUCUCCUCAAAGUUUACUUGCAUUUUUAAAACCUGAUAAACAUCUCUAGAUUUAGUGUGCUCUCUUAUUAACAAUACACAUUUUGAAGAGAAUUGAGAUUGCUUUAUCUUUAAUUCCUCUAUUUCUACAUCUUUAACAAACUCUUAACAACAAAAAAUUGUUUGCUAGAGAAAUAGAUACUAGGCUGAACAAGAAGGAAAAAAAAAAACCCUCAUUUUCCUCAGCCUGAACUAGGGAUGAGUCUGAAAUAAUCUAAUUCUAAAAGUAAAAGUUAACACACAUUUACAAAAUAAACUUGGAGAGAGGGAAUCUACCUCUGGGUAAUAAACUCUUGAUUAUGGAGUUUCCAACAGAAACAAUAUACUCAUUAAUAUUUCACAGAAUCACAUAUUUCCCAAAUAAAAAAGCAGCAAAACCAUUAGUACUUGUGUUUUCAAGUGCUACUUAGGUUAAAUGCCUGUUUUAAACCAGACAACAAUUAUCUUCAAUACUCAAAUCAUUAAAACUAACUGGAAUGUUGUACUGCAACUGUUCAAAACUGGAGGAAUUACCCAUUUCUUCUCAUGGCUAGCUAUCGGGAAAAUUAAGGGAAACUCUCAAAUAAAUCUUAACAUUUUAACAACAACGACUAAUAGUAUUUCAACGAUCAUUUUUUAAAAGUCUAUCCCCUUUCUACAGCUUACUUAAUCUUUAAAACUAUGCCUCUCCAAUGCUAUUUCAAUGUUUAGGGUUAAAUAUAUGAACUAAACAUUUAAAAUCUGAAGAGAACAAUCCAUGUGAUAGAAUCCUCACGUUUCACAAAAUGUUAUUUUAAGCAUUUGCAGAAGAAUUAAAUAAAUGUAGCACACACUCUAAAUUCGAUAAAAGAUUCAGAGAACCCGACAUUUUAUAUACCCAAAAGAUCCAAAUAGAACCGAUGCAAAUGUCAAUAACUCUCUUUCGUCUAAUUCUUAAAUGAUUUUACUAGUACCCAAAGGAAUGAAAUCAGCAACUCUUUCCACACUCUAGUCAACACUCCAAUUUUCAAAGCCGCAAUUCGAAAACGUCAGUUUGGGCGGGGAGCAGUGAGGGUCUUGAAGUAAUCAAAAAAUUCCUUUUCCUCCUCUGACAGUCAACCAAAAGAUGUCAAACCAAAUUCAGCCUAUUAUAAAGCACUGGGGCUUCCCUUCCAAGGACACGGGACUCAAGCGCAGACACCGCUGCAAAAAGCUGUCCCCAAACGCCUGGUCCGACCGAAAUGUAAGGGGCCCAAACAAGAACGAAAUUAGAAGCCUCAAGAGGGUCCCGCAGAGACAACGGAAAUUAAAGUAGCAUUUAUUCAGGGGUAGACAGCAACGAACCAACGUUCUCCCAGCCGGACUCUUAGCCUUUCUCUAUCCGAAUUCAGGCUCAAGGCAGAUAGAUUUGUGGGGGUCCCUUUCCCCAUUGACAUCUCAGCCGCUGCCGGGGCCUACCGUCGCUCAAAGGGAAGACCCUCCAACUUCACAUCCGUCCCUUUUGCCCUCGGACAAAAGCAGAGGAGACUAUGCAGCUGACCUAGCUCUGUGGGGCAGCAAAAAUGCCUUGUCCGGGCCACCCAUCCCUGGGCCUGGCUUCAUUUGCGCUGUCAGCACCAAUGUAUUCUUCUUUAUUUUUGCAACGCAUACUGGGCGGGUGUAUGCAUUGCGGGGGUGGGGUGGGGAUUGAACAGAGAAAGGAGGGGUUGGUAGUGGAGCCUUGAACCCUCCUUCCUCUCCCCUCCAGCCAGGGGUGCUGUGCAGGGAGUGUCGGCCAGGUUUGGCGCACUGUCCCAGGCCCCAGGCUAAGGUGGCCAGGGGAAACGAGGCUUAGGGAUUUCUAAGCAAACGGUACCACUGGUGGUCUCCAGCGCCUGCGGAGGUUAUCAACAUGUUGCCAUUUUAUUACAUGGAGCAAGGCUGAAUACAUAUAUUCAUGAGUAGGCCAGAUAUUCACUUCCAUACUGAUCAAGGGACAUCAGGUGCUGCUGAAGUAAGAAUGACUCCUGCCAAAGUUCCCUCUGAGUGGGGGAGAGGGGGUCCUUUAU